This is a microRNA precursor of Bison bison bison, 82 nucleotides long. The record is from Ensembl. Lineage: Eukaryota; Metazoa; Chordata; Mammalia; Artiodactyla; Bovidae.
GGGACAUUAAAACACAGGCUGGGGUGUGUGUGGAUGGAGACUGUUACUCUAUUCGUUUACUCCCUAGCCUCCAGAUAUGCCU